AUUGCUUCUUGGCCUUUUGGCUGAGAUCAAGUGUAGUAUCUGUUCUUAUCAGUUUAAUACCUGAUGUGCCCUCUACCUGAGGACGGUACGUGAGAUGGAGCUUUGAAAUAUUUAGGAAUAGAAGCUUGCUCCGUCCACUCCAUAUAGAUCCAGCACCUCCAGGAAUGGUGUCCCACCU
Molecule: small nuclear RNA, 178 nt
Filed under: Carlito syrichta (Philippine tarsier)
Lineage: Eukaryota; Metazoa; Chordata; Mammalia; Primates; Tarsiidae
Description: U2 spliceosomal RNA (ENSTSYG00000036260.1)
Rfam family: U2 spliceosomal RNA
About the family: U2 is a small nuclear RNA (snRNA) component of the spliceosome (involved in pre-mRNA splicing). Complementary binding between U2 snRNA (in an area lying towards the 5' end but 3' to hairpin I) and the branchpoint sequence (BPS) of the intron results the bulging out of an unpaired adenosine, on the BPS, which initiates a nucleophilic attack at the intronic 5' splice site, thus starting the first of two transesterification reactions that mediate splicing.
Source: Rfam by way of RNAcentral